AGAGGAUAAAUCUGGGCUGUGGGUGAGCUGGCUUGGAAACCUUCGGCGGGGGUGGCAGUAUCGACCUGCAUUGUAAUGGGGCCGUGAGGGCGCAGGAGGGAUGGAGGGCACCCCAGUGCGGGCAAGGCCGGUGCUGCGGCCUGGAGGCAGGAACUGGAGAGCAAACAGAGUCUUUGGGCUGCAGAGGCGUGGCCAAGAAUUCCUAAAGAAUGGAGGGUUCUGAAUAUGUGGCUGCCAUUGCUGCUGGGCACAUCACAUGUACAACAAUCAGUCCUGGACUAAAAACCACGGAAAUAUGAACUUACUGGUAUAGCUCUCCAUCUCCCCUUCUUCAGGAGAUGCAAUCACCAACCUCCCUGAACCAGACCAAGCCUAACCAAAGAGCUACACCUAUGACCUCUGCCUUACUUUUAACGCUAAGAUCUCUCUAGGAGGAACUUAGGCCUUAUUGCCAUCACCUGCAGUGUGUGUGGAAGCAUGUUUUCCAGCUGAGCCUGCGCAAGCCAAUACCCA
This 513-nucleotide long non-coding RNA is filed under the name Equus asinus (donkey). RNAcentral describes it as "lncRNA (ENSEASG00005028351.1, ENSEASG00020034085.1)". The record is from RNAcentral. Lineage: Eukaryota; Metazoa; Chordata; Mammalia; Perissodactyla; Equidae.